RNAcentral lists this ribosomal RNA (497 nucleotides) under uncultured bacterium. RNAcentral describes it as "partial 16S ribosomal RNA". It matches the Rfam family "Bacterial small subunit ribosomal RNA", at positions 28 to 507 of the family's 1533-position model. The record is from RNAcentral.
GAUGAACGCUGGCGGCGUGCCUAAUACAUGCAAGUCGAGCGAACGGACGAGAAGCUUGCUUCUCUGAUGUUAGCGGCGGACGGGUGAGUAACACGUGGAUAACCUACCUAUAAGACUGGGAUAACUUCGGGAAACCGGAGCUAAUACCGGAUAAUAUUUUGAACCGCAUGGUUCAAAAGUGAAAGACGGUCUUGCUGUCACUUAUAGAUGGAUCCGCGCUGCAUUAGCUAGUUGGUAAGGUAACGGCUUACCAAGGCAACGAUGCAUAGCCGACCUGAGAGGGUGAUCGGACACACUGGAACUGAGACACGGUCCAGACUCCUACGGGAGGCAGCAGUAGGGAAUCUUCCGCAAUGGGCGAAAGCCUGACGGAGCAACGCCGAGUGAGUGAUGAAGGUCUUCGGAUCGUAAAACUCUGUUAUUAGGGAAGAACAUAUGUGUAAGUAACUGUGCACAUCUUGACGGUACCUAAUCAGAAAGCCACGGCUAACUACGUG